Non-coding RNA from Odocoileus virginianus texanus, 1630 nucleotides. NCBI's taxonomy places the organism in Eukaryota, Metazoa, Chordata, Mammalia, Artiodactyla, Cervidae. The record is from RefSeq and is a predicted model, not a curated record.
CCCCGGGGAUGGAUCUGUUGAAAUGCAUGAUGUAAAGAAUCAUCGCACCUUUUUAAAGCGGACAAAAUAUGAAGACCUUCACCUGGAAGAUUUAUUUAUAGGCAACAAAGUGAACAUCUUUUCUCGACAACUGGUGCUGCUUGACUAUGGAGAUCAAUACACAGCUCGCCAACCUGGCAGUAGGAAAGAAAAAACAUUAGCCCUGAUUAAACCAGAUGCAGUGUCAAAAGCUGGAGAAAUAAUUGAAAUAAUAAACAAAGCUGGAUUUACUCUAACCAAACUCAAAAUGAUGACGCUAUCAAGGAAAGAAGCAACAGAUUUUCAUAUAGACCAUCAGUCAAGGCCCUUUUUAAAUGAGCUGAUUCAGUUUAUUACAAGUGGACCUAUAAUUGCCAUGGAGAUUUUACGAGAUGAUGCUAUAUGUGAAUGGAAGAGACUUCUUGGACCUUCAAACUCUGGCCUGGCACGUACAGAUGCUCCUGAAAGCAUUAGAGCCCUCUUUGGAACAGAUGGCAUAAAGAAUGCAACUCAUGGCCCUGAUUCUUUAGCUUGUGCUGCCAGAGAAAUGGAGUUAUUUUUUCCUUCGAGUGGAGUGUGUGGGCCAGCAAACACUGCUAAAUUUACCAACUGUACUACUUGUUGCAUUGUUAAGCCCCAUGCUGUCAGCGAAGGACUUCUGGGAAAGAUCCUGAUGACUAUCCGAGAUGCAGGUUUUGAAAUCUCAGCUAUGCAGAUGUUUAACAUGGAUCGGAUUAAUGUUGAAGAGUUUUAUGAAGUUUAUAAAGGAGUAGUGUCUGAGUAUAAUGAAAUGGUGACGAAAUGUAUUCUGGGCCUUGUGUAGCAAUGGAGAUUCAACAAACUAAUCCUACAAUGACAUUUCGAGAAUUCUGUGGACCUGCUGAUCCUGAAAUUGCCCGACAUUUACGCCCUGGAACCCUCCAAGCAAUCUUUGGUAAAACUAAGAUCCAGAAUGCUGUCCACUGUACGGAUCUGCCAGAGGAUGGUCUAUUAGAGGUUCAGUAUUUCUGCAAGAUCUUGGAUAACUAGCAGUGUAGAAAGUAAGGCAGUCACAGGUUGGGGCAUUUAGACAAGAGUGAAUCACGCACAUGAGGAAUGUGUUCAUUCUUUUAUUGUCCAUUGUUUUAACCUGACUGAAUACAAGAUCAACAAGAGCACUGUUCUCCUGGCAAUUAUGACAUGUUAGAACAUGGAUUUUUGCACUGUAGACAACAUUCAACAUCAGUCUAUGGGGUGCUGCAUUGCUUUUUAUAAAGUCCAAAAUAAAGAUUUAUUUUCAAACAAAAAAAAAAAUAAAAUAAAAUAAAAAUAAACAGAUACUGUGAGAGUUAUAUCAGGGAAGCCCAGGGAUGUGGGUGUUUCCAGGUGGGGUGUCAAAUGCCUGGUAAGGAGCACAACAGUGUACUGACAUUGGUGAGCUGUAUAGAGCAAACUGUCCAUCACCAGAGACCUUGACAAGGCUGGUUCAGAAGACGGUAGCAUGUGUCAGGAUAUCACGGUGGGGUGGGUGGAUUCUCAGAGUCUAUAGGUAAAUGAAGACCAAAACUCUCACAGUCACAUACACUUGUCUAACGGAAACACCCUUUGUGAAAAGCCACAUUUGUGACUUGUG